This 409-nucleotide ribosomal RNA is filed under the name Actinomycetes bacterium. Its description in RNAcentral is "Actinobacteria bacterium partial 16S ribosomal RNA". It matches the Rfam family "Bacterial small subunit ribosomal RNA", at positions 355 to 776 of the family's 1533-position model. The record is from RNAcentral. Lineage: Bacteria; Bacillati; Actinomycetota; Actinomycetes.
UGGGGAAUAUUGCACAAUGGGCGGAAGCCUGAUGCAGCGACGCCGCGUGGGGGAUGAAGGCCUUCGGGUUGUAAACUCCUUUCGGCAGGGACGAAGCUUUUGUGACGGUACCUGUAUAAGAAGCACCGGCUAACUACGUGCCAGCAGCCGCGGUAAUACGUAGGGUGCGAGCGUUGUCCGGAAUUACUGGGGGUAAAGAGCUCGUAGGUGGUUUGUCGCGUCGUCUGUGAAAUUCCGGGGCUUAACUCCGGGCGUGCAGGCGAUACGGGCUGACUUGAGUGCUGUAGGGGAGACUGGAAUUCCUGGUGUAGCGGUGAAAUGCGGAGAUAUCAGGAGGAACACCGAUGGCGAAGGAAGGUCUCUGGGCAGUAACUGCCGCUGAGGAGCGAAGGCAUGGGUAGCGAAAAGG